Molecule: ribosomal RNA, 491 nt
Filed under: uncultured bacterium
Lineage: Bacteria
Description: partial 16S ribosomal RNA
Rfam family: Bacterial small subunit ribosomal RNA
Source: RNAcentral
GUGAACGCUGGCGGUAGGCCUAACACAUGCAAGUCGAACGGCAGCACAGUAAGAGCUUGCUCUUACGGGUGGCGAGUGGCGGACGGGUGAUGAAUACAUCGGAAUCUACUUUUUCGUGGGGGAUAACGUAGGGAAACUUACGCUAAUACCGCAUACGACCUACGGGUGAAAGCAGGGGAUCUUCGGACCUUGCGCGAUUGAAUGAGCCGAUGUCGGAUUAGCUAGUUGGCGGGGUAAAGGCCCACCAAGGCGACGAUCCGUAGCUGGUCUGAGAGGAUGAUCAGCCACACUGGAACUGAGACACGGUCCAGACUCCUACGGGAGGCAGCAGUGGGGAAUAUUGGACAAUGGGCGCAAGCCUGAUCCAGCCAUACCGCGUGGGUGAAGAAGGCCUUCGGGUUGUAAAGCCCUUUUGUUGGGAAAGAAAAGCAGCAGGUUAAUACCCCGCUGUUCCGACGGUACCCAAAGAAUAAGCACCGGCUAACUUCGUG